Talpa occidentalis (Iberian mole) is the source of this 406-nucleotide long non-coding RNA. RefSeq lists it as uncharacterized. The transcript is spliced from 3 exons. The record is from RefSeq and is a predicted model, not a curated record. Lineage: Eukaryota; Metazoa; Chordata; Mammalia; Eulipotyphla; Talpidae.
AAGACCCAGGCCGGCGUUUGGGGAGGCCUCGCGCGCUGGAGUGUAGGUGGGAGGAGACACCCCAGGAGAGCCCCGCUCGGGAGACUAUUUCGGAAACGCACGAAGAAGGAAAGGCCCGUACUGGGGCGACGGCACCUGGUAAGGCGAGCUCACGGAGGUUGAGUCCUCUCCACGGUUAUAGCAAAGGCCACGCUAGUUCCCUUCCUAUGGCCUGGAACCGCUUCAAACCAGACCUUGGUAACUACAAAAGGAUUCAACUUGGAGAGUUCCAAAAAGGCCGAUUUCUGCAAAGCUGAGCCACAAAACCCUUUAUGUGCCCAAGACACUGAGGUUGGGCAGAGAAGCUAAGGUUUAUAGAAGUGGGACUUUUGAGAAGAGUAUUAAAACAUUCUCUUACAUUUCCUUU